RNAcentral lists this ribosomal RNA (164 nucleotides) under Acer spicatum (mountain maple). RNAcentral's name for it is "5.8S rRNA". It matches the Rfam family "5.8S ribosomal RNA". Rfam says of the family: 5.8S ribosomal RNA (5.8S rRNA) is a component of the large subunit of the eukaryotic ribosome. Lineage: Eukaryota; Viridiplantae; Streptophyta; Magnoliopsida; Sapindales; Sapindaceae. The record is from RNAcentral.
AAMACGACUCUCGGCAACGGAUAUCUCGGCUCUCGCAUCGAUGAAGAACGUAGCGAAAUGCGAUACUUGGUGUGAAUUGCAGAAUCCCGUGAACCAUCGAGUCUUUGAACGCAAGUUGCGCCCCAAGCCGUUAGGCCGAGGGHACGCCUGCCUGGGUGUCACGC